This 445-nucleotide long non-coding RNA is filed under the name Mytilus galloprovincialis (Mediterranean mussel). The record is from RNAcentral. Lineage: Eukaryota; Metazoa; Mollusca; Bivalvia; Mytilida; Mytilidae.
GGUUGAUGAUUCUACAGAAACAUAUUAUCAUUAUUACAGGAAAGGCAUAAAACUAGAUACAUUUGCAUUAUAUAGUAUUGUUCAAAGUAACAAAGGUACAUGUAACCAAUCUAUGGUUUUCCUGUAUGCAGGAAUGUAACAGAAAGAGGGAACAGAAAAAAAUACAAAUUGUUGCCUAUAUCAUUACAUCUUAUCUAGGUUUCCUUGAAAUCUCAAAGAUUAAAAAUUGAAUUACUGUUUACACUACUGGAUCCCGAUUUAAAUAACUGUCCUUAUUCUUUUACUGGGUCUGGCAAAUGAUCAUAUAAGUUAGAUCAGUUACUUUAAGCACUAUCUAAAACUACCACAUUCCUUGAUACUUUUUCAUCUACAAGUAGAGAAAUUUCUUUAAAAUGUUUUAGAUUAGUUUAAAAGAAUUGUAUUUAAGUUGAAGCUUACAUCCGUU